This 253-nucleotide ribosomal RNA is filed under the name uncultured bacterium. RNAcentral's name for it is "partial 16S ribosomal RNA". It matches the Rfam family "Bacterial small subunit ribosomal RNA", at positions 524 to 776 of the family's 1533-position model. The record is from RNAcentral.
UACGGAGGGGGCUAGCGUUGUUCGGAAUUACUGGGCGUAAAGCGCACGUAGGCGGCUUUGUAAGUUAGAGGUGAAAGCCUGGAGCUCAACUCCAGAAUUACCUUUAAGACUGCAUCGCUUGAAUCGCGGAGAGGUGAGUGGAAUUCCGAGUGUAGAGGUGAAAUUCGUAGAUAUUCGGAAGAACACCAGUGGCGAAGGCGACUUACUGGACACAUAUUGACGCUGAGGUGCGAAAGCGUGGGGAGCAAACAGG